RNAcentral lists this ribosomal RNA (504 nucleotides) under uncultured bacterium. Its description in RNAcentral is "partial 16S ribosomal RNA". It matches the Rfam family "Bacterial small subunit ribosomal RNA", at positions 899 to 1397 of the family's 1533-position model. The record is from RNAcentral.
ACUCAAAGGAAUUGACGGGGGCCCGCACAAGCGGUGGAGCAUGUGGUUCAAUUCGAUGCAGAGCGAAGAACCUUACCUGGGCUUGACAUGCCGGGAGUAGAAACCCGAAAGGGGGACGACCCGUUAAGUCGGGAAUCGGCACAGGUGGUGCAUGGCUGUCGUCAGCUCGUGCCGUGAGGUGUUGGGUUAAGUCCCGCAACGAGCGCAACCCUCACCCCAUGUUGCCAUCAGGUAAUGCUGGGCACUCUUGGGGAACUGCCGGCGAUGAGCUGGAGGAAGGAGGGGAUGACGUCAAGUCAGUAUGCCCCUUAUGUCCAGGGCGACACACAUGCUACAAUGGCCGGUACAGAGGGUCGCAAACCCGCGAGGGGGAGCCAAUCCCAGAAAGCCGGUCUCAGUUCGGAUUGCAGGCUGCAACUCGCCUGCAUGAAGUCGGAAUCGCUAGUAAGCGCAGAUCAGCAGGCUGCGCUGAAUACGUUCCCGGGCCUUGCACACACCGCCCGU